RNAcentral lists this ribosomal RNA (468 nucleotides) under uncultured bacterium. RNAcentral's name for it is "partial 16S ribosomal RNA". It matches the Rfam family "Bacterial small subunit ribosomal RNA", at positions 28 to 507 of the family's 1533-position model. The record is from RNAcentral.
GACGAACGCUGGCGGCGUGCUUAACACAUGCAAGUCGAACGGAAAGGCCCUGCUUUUGUGGGGUUCUCGAGUGGCGAACGGGUGCGUAACACGUGAGUAACCUGCCCUUCACUUUGGGAUAACUUCAGGAAACUGGGGCUAAUACCGGAUAGGAUCUCCUGCUGCAUGGUGGGGGUUGGAAAGUUUCGGCGGUUGGGGAUGGACUCGCGGCUUAUCAGCUUGUUGGUGGGGUAGUGGCUUACCCAGGCUUUGACGGGUAGCCGGCCUGAGAGGGUGACCGGCCACAAUGGGACUGAGAGAGGGCGCAGACUGCUACGGGAGGCAGCAGUGGGGAAUAUUGCACAAUGGGCGGGAGCCUGAUGAAGAAGCGCCGCGUGCGGGAUGACGGCCUGCGGGUUGUAAACCGCUGUCGCCUGUGACGAAGCGGGAGUGACGGUAAUGGGUAAAGAAGCACCGGCUAACUACGUG